AAUAUUUCAGUAAUGUGUUGCUCCUGCUCCUACGUUCAUGGACUGCUCCCACUCACGCUCUCCGUCUCUGCUGAUUGGCAAUGAUUGAGAUUUCUCUU
Etheostoma cragini (Arkansas darter) is the source of this 98-nucleotide long non-coding RNA. RefSeq lists it as uncharacterized. The record is from RefSeq and is a predicted model, not a curated record. The transcript is spliced from 3 exons. Lineage: Eukaryota; Metazoa; Chordata; Actinopteri; Perciformes; Percidae.